GUCAUGUUGUUUAAUAAAACCUUUCAAUAACCAUCUUUCUGAAUCCAUUUUAAAAACAAUGUUUAUUCAGUGUUAUUAUUCUUUAAUACAUGAAUACACUGAUGUAUACAAUUAAACAUUUACUGGAAAAAAUAAUUUGUAGAAAUAUUAGAAUAAUCACCUACUGAAGCUACAGGAGUUUUAGCAUCACUGUCAACCAUUAGCAAGGAAUUUCACUCCCAUCAGCAAACAAAUGUAAUUGAGUUCAUACAGAUUUCAUUUGUUUCAAUUAUGUGACAAUUGAAAUCACCAAACCAACAUGAAGCUCUACGGAGGAGUUUGAUAAACGCUUUAAUGUUUUGUACUUUGGAAAGAACCUUUUGGGACAGAACUUUAUCAGAGAAUAUUCUGGAUUUGCUGCUAAAACCUGUUUUAUCUUCUCCAACAGUUUCUGAUGUGUGUCACUGUAAACUAUCAGGAUGUCUGCUAAGAUAAAUAACACCUUUAACCUUCCAGUCCAUCUCCUUGUAUUAUAGCUUCUUACGGAAUAUGAUUGUGAUAUUUAGGAUAGUUCAUCAUUCAAAAACAGAAAAUAAAGGAACAAUACACACAAACUAAGAACCAUUAGUUUAAUUAGUGUAAGACAGCAUUUCACAUGAGAAAGUGGGCUUUUUUUCCUGGUUGAAACAAUGCUAAUCGUGAGUUCCAUAGUUUACAAAAGGAGUAAAUUUGCUUCUAUGUUUGCAGAGAAGCCAUCAUACGCUGAGCUGAGUAGCAACAUUUACAUUUUUAAAUUCAACAGAAGUUUUGUUAUACUUAGGCUGCUGCAAGAAUUUACAAGUUAAAUGCAUGUUUACCAGCCUUUUCAACUUUAAGGCUCAUGAACCACAAGCUGAUUGUGCAAAAAUGGAUGCUGAUUGUACACUUAAAGUUAUAAUAAGCAAGUUUUAUUGGAAAUUAAGUCAUCCCCAGAGCUAGGCACCUGCCUCACUUGCCAACUGGAUUACACGGCACCUGACCUUAAUUACAAACCUGCUCAAUCAGGAUAAGACCAGAUGGAUAGACAGGGAGAGGGAUAUGGAUGGAAUAUUACAUAUGAUGUUUGUGGUUAUUUUGCAUGUCUUCUGCCAUUUAUUCAAUGUUUGUUUUCUCAGCUGUAAUUUUAUGGUUCUUUAUGGUUCUUAAGAACCAUAAAAUUAUUACAGCAAUAUUUUCGAACAUCAGAUUUCUUACUACCUUAUAAUAAAUUCUUUAUUCUAGAAUCCUUUUUCUUCCUCUAGUCUAGUCCAAUUAAAUUAAUGCCAAAAGUUGAUUUGGAAUCUCUAUUAGAAAUAGCAGCCCAUGAACUAACAUUUAUAUUUUAACAAAACUUGCCACUUGUAAGCAAAUAAAUAAUUCCUUCAAAUAGACUGUACAACAUAAUGUUAUGCUUGACAAAUUAUUUACUUCACAUUAUAUAACAAAGCAAUAGCACUUAGUAAGUUUUUUGUUUUUUUUGUUCCAGGAAAUUAUAAUGUAAAAUAUAGCAUUCAUUAAGGUUGCUGUUCAUUUUGUCUUGACUUGGUUUUCUGAAUAUAAUGGCAUGUCAGUUUUGGUCGACUUUAAGACAUGGGACAAAAGAAAUUGGUGAUUAUAUGAAGAAAUGAAUUUGAAGUCCUAUAAAGUUACAAUGUACCUAAAGUGUGACCCAAGCAGCAGAGCUGACUGAACUCAUGUCAUGUACUUAAGACUAUGAUCUUACAUGAAAAUGUAUGAAUGGCACUCCUGGAUUGGCUGGUUUACAUAUACAAUGCAGUAUUGUGUUAGGUAGCAUUGCCCACAGGUAUUUUAGGUUCCAAAGUUACAUUUUAAAAAAUCUUCAAAUUGCUGGGUUUCAGAUGACGUUUCACUGAUUGUCACCCAAUGCAGAUGGAGGGCAGGAAGUAAAUGCAGCCCAUUUAUUUCUGUUGAUCCAGCAUCAACAUUUGUAAAGUCUGUGUCCUGACUUUAGACAUUAUCGUUCUCUCUCUAGUAGAGAGAAAGAUAAACAUUAUUUUUGUGUUCUAAAGGUAGUUGGUCACAAGGGAGUUAAUUUAAAAAAAAUUUCAAAAAAAGAGGAGAAAAGUGCAUCAACAAUAUACAUCUAAUAACAGGAGGUGCAGAAACUAACAAUGCCAGAGUUUGCAGCGUCACUUUUUAACAGGUAAUGAUCGCAAUCUUUAAAUUGGUUUUUCAGAUGUUUUAUUGGACAGUUACUUAGAAAGCCAAGCAUUCAUAUGUAAGGUAAGAUAUAUUAUUUUUAUGCCCUGGCGUGGUUGUCCUCAGAGUGCUAAUGUUGUUAGCAGCUAGCUCAGUGCCGAGUCCCGGACAGAAAAUAUAAUGUUUAUUCAGUGGGACUUUCAUGGUA
Xiphophorus hellerii (green swordtail) is the source of this 2365-nucleotide long non-coding RNA. RefSeq lists it as uncharacterized. The record is from RefSeq and is a predicted model, not a curated record. NCBI's taxonomy places the organism in Eukaryota, Metazoa, Chordata, Actinopteri, Cyprinodontiformes, Poeciliidae. The transcript is spliced from 2 exons.